Molecule: long non-coding RNA, 709 nt
Organism: Peromyscus maniculatus bairdii (prairie deer mouse)
Lineage: Eukaryota; Metazoa; Chordata; Mammalia; Rodentia; Cricetidae
Source: RefSeq, a predicted model, not a curated record
UCCUAUCCAGACAUGGUGAACUGCAACCUUAAAUGCAGGGUUCUUAAACUCCAACAUGGAAAUAAGCUAUAUAUUUGGGAACUCUCUUGGACAGCCCUGGUUAACAACUCAAAAGAGAGCUUCUUGCGUGAUACCAAUUAUUCUUACAGAGAAAAGGCUACACAAAAAAAUGCUUCCAUCUCAAGGUGGCAGCCAGGCUAAGGAGGAAGCCUGGAUAGUAGAAGCUACCCAUAUUGGAAUUUGAUCUUGGACUUCUAACUUCCAGAGCUGGAUUGUGGGAUAGUGUGCAACAGCCUGGAGUUCAUGCAGAUGCAGACUCAGCCCUGGAACCUGCAGUGUGGCCACCAGAUCCCCCUGGCUCUGGGCAACAGUGGAGGCCCAAGAUAAGGAAAAUUUCACUGUCUGGAUUGGACCUCCUCCAAGGACCACCAUUGUCUGAGAUGCUACUGGAGAUCAUGUUGAUGUCUGUGGUCCAUGCUGCUGCCCAGGCCAUGAUGAAGCCUGAGAUCCAUGUGGAUGCAUGCAGUCUGGGCCACCACUUGAUCUGGUGAUUUCCUUGGGCUUCGCUGCCUCAGGGGGUCAUCCUGAUGAGCUGCUGGAGUAUGUGAAGAAGCUGGUCCUGCAGAACCAGAGCUGCAGGAUCACCAUGACUCUGGCUACAGCAGAAUACCAGAGACAAGUUGACUCAUCGAAGUAAAUAUUUGCAUGC